This 269-nucleotide ribosomal RNA is filed under the name uncultured bacterium. RNAcentral's name for it is "partial 16S ribosomal RNA". It matches the Rfam family "Bacterial small subunit ribosomal RNA", at positions 1105 to 1382 of the family's 1533-position model. The record is from RNAcentral.
UCAUUUUUAGUUGCCUUUAUGGAACUCUAGAAAGACUGCCGGUUAUAAACCGGAGGAAGGCGGGGAUGACGUCAAGUCAGCAUGCCCCUUACACCCUGGGCUACACACGUGCUACAAUGGGUGAGACAAUGAGAUGCAACUCUGCGAAGACAAGCUAAUCUAUAAACUCACUCUAAGUUCGGAUUGUAGGCUGCAACUCGCCUGCAUGAAGUUGGAAUCGCUAGUAAUCGCUGGUCAGCUAUACAGCGGUGAAUUCGUUCCCGGGCCUU